UACCCCUACGGGGGGCAGCAGUAGGGAAUCUUCCACAAUGGACGAAAGUCUGAUGGAGCAACGCCGCGUGAGUGAAGAAGGGUUUCGGCUCGUAAAGCUCUGUUGGUAGUGAAGAAAGAUAGAGGUAGUAACUGGCCUUUAUUUGACGGUAAUUACUUAGAAAGUCACGGCUAACUACUUGCCAGCAGCCGCGGUAAUACGUAGGUGGCAAACGUUGUUCGGAUUUAUUGGG
This 232-nucleotide ribosomal RNA is filed under the name uncultured bacterium. RNAcentral's name for it is "partial 16S ribosomal RNA". It matches the Rfam family "Bacterial small subunit ribosomal RNA", at positions 334 to 558 of the family's 1533-position model. The record is from RNAcentral.